AGUGAACGCUGGCGGUAGGCCUAACACAUGCAAGUCGGACGGCAGCACAGUAAGAGCUUGCUCUUACGGGUGGCGAGUGGCGGACGGGUGAGGAAUACAUCGGAAUCUACUUUUUCGUGGGGGAUAACGUAGGGAAACUUACGCUAAUACCGCAUACGACCUACGGGUGAAAGCAGGGGAUCUUCGGACCUUGCGCGAUUGAAUGAGCCGAUGUCGGAUUAGCUAGUUGGCGGGGUAAAGGCCCACCAAGGCGACGAUCCGUAGCUGGUCUGAGAGGAUGAUCAGCCACACUGGAACUGAGACACGGUCCAGACUCCUACGGGAGGCAGCAGUGGGGAAUAUUGGACAAUGGGCGCAGGCCUGAUCCAGCCAUACCGCGUGGGUGAAGAAGGCCUUCGGGUUGUAAAGCCCUUUUGUUGGGAAAGAAAAGCAGCAGGUUAAUACCCCGCUGUUCUGACGGUACCCAAAGAAUAAGCACCGGCUAACUUCGUG
RNAcentral lists this ribosomal RNA (492 nucleotides) under uncultured bacterium. Its description in RNAcentral is "partial 16S ribosomal RNA". It matches the Rfam family "Bacterial small subunit ribosomal RNA", at positions 29 to 507 of the family's 1533-position model. The record is from RNAcentral.